Molecule: non-coding RNA, 23 nt
Filed under: Cricetulus griseus (Chinese hamster)
Lineage: Eukaryota; Metazoa; Chordata; Mammalia; Rodentia; Cricetidae
Source: RNAcentral
GUUGCUGUGAUGACAAUCUUAGG